Solanum lycopersicum (tomato) is the source of this 1177-nucleotide long non-coding RNA. RefSeq lists it as uncharacterized. The record is from RefSeq and is a predicted model, not a curated record. NCBI's taxonomy places the organism in Eukaryota, Viridiplantae, Streptophyta, Magnoliopsida, Solanales, Solanaceae.
AACGUUGAAAAAUAAUUUUUAUCAGAGAAUUCCUUAAUAUUUUGGAAUAAUUCAAAUUACUUAUUUGGGAUAACUUUUAUAAUAUGAGGCCUCAGUAAUUAAUUUUGUGCUCCCUAUUGUUCCCAUAUUAAAUUAGAACUCAGAAUCCUAUUUUAAAGGAUAAAAGAGGAGAGUACCAUGAGUUUUUCUUUUAAAAAGAAAUCAAUCAUGUAUUUUUCUUGUUAAAGAAAAUAGACUUUAUUUUUUCCUCCUUUUUGAAUUGGAAAAAAUCUCUACAAGUAGGAUUCUCUCAACUUAGAAAAAGAUUGAAUUUUUCGAUUCAUACUUCAUAACCAAGUAUCGAGAGAGUUCGCAUGUCAAUUUGAGAUCAUUAUAGAAGGCAACAUAAUUGUUGUAUAUCUUUUCCAUUGACUUGAUGAUCUAUCUAACUUGGGAAAUUGCUUGUAGGAAGAUAUUUCUAAGUUGUGGAUUCACUUGAAUGUAUGUGUUCACGCUUUACGAGAAGAGGCUGGACCGAAAAAAUAUGGAGCUAGUAGAUUUUUUGUCUCUAAAUGGUGGACGACAAAUUAGAGAUAGAUCAAGCUCAAGACUUCAUAGAUGAUAAAAAUCUGCAUGGAUGAAGAAGCAAGUGGCCAAGAUGCACUUUAUCAAACAAAAGAGAACAACAUCACAACGAAGGUUAAUUUAAUUACUCUGAAUAAUUUUACUCCUGAAACUCACAAAAAUACUUCUUUGAAGCCUAAGGAGAAAAAAUUCAACAAAAAUAAUGGUAGACCUCCCAAGAAAUAUAAUGGUGAAAACUACAAAGCACAAAAUCAACAAUUUCAAGAAAGUGUACCAUGGUUUGUUUUUGGCAAAAGUGGGCAUAUUCUCGAUUUUGAAGAUUUCGGAAACGUGGUCGUAAUCCUAAGGUGCAGGUCACAGAGAAGGUGGAAGACUCGUUGAAGUUGUAUGGAUCAUCAUUCUCUAGACUUCGGUAGGUCCUCUUGAUGUUUGAGGAUGCUACACAUAUUUAUCUAGAAUAGUUCUGUAGACAUAGCUAGUGGAUGUUAUCCCUAGCGUUUCUUUUGAGAUCUUUGUUUCAAAGCAUUGUAUUAUGGCCGAUUUGGCAAACUAUUACAUUAUAUAUUGAUCUCUUGAUUUGAAUUGUUUCUUCAAUAUAAAUGGUUGUUUUUAA